This 98-nucleotide unclassified non-coding RNA is filed under the name Streptococcus pyogenes. RNAcentral describes it as "sgRNA from Streptococcus pyogenes (PDB 8G1I, chain B)". The record is from RNAcentral. Lineage: Bacteria; Bacillati; Bacillota; Bacilli; Lactobacillales; Streptococcaceae.
UACCAGCAAAACACUCCGAUGUUUUAGAGCUAGAAAUAGCAAGUUAAAAUAAGGCUAGUCCGUUAUCAACUUGAAAAAGUGGCACCGAGUCGGUGCUU